GAUGAACGCUGGCGGCGUGCCUAAUACAUGCAAGUCGAGCGAACGGACGAGAAGCUUUCUUCUCUGAUGUUAGCGGCGGACGGGUGAGUAACACGUGGAUAACCUACCUAUAAGACUGGGAUAACUUCGGGAAACCGGAGCUAAUACCGGAUAAUAUUUUGAACCGCAUGGUUCAAAAGUAAAAGACGGUCUUGCUGUCACUUAUAGAUGGAUCCGCGCUGCAUUAGCUAGUUGGUAAGGUAACGGCUUACCAAGGCAACGAUGCAUAGCCGACCUGAGAGGAUGAUCGGCCACACUGGAACUGAGACACGGUCCAGACUCCUACGGGAGGCAGCAGUAGGGAAUCUUCCGCAAUGGGCGAAAGCCUGACGGAGCAACGCCGCGUGAGUGAUGAAGGUCUUCGGAUCGUAAAACUCUGUUAUUAGGGAAGAACAUAUGUGUAAGUAACUGUGCACAUCUUGACGGUACCUAAUCAGAAAGCCACGGCUAACUACGUG
This 497-nucleotide ribosomal RNA is filed under the name uncultured bacterium. RNAcentral describes it as "partial 16S ribosomal RNA". It matches the Rfam family "Bacterial small subunit ribosomal RNA", at positions 28 to 507 of the family's 1533-position model. The record is from RNAcentral.